Molecule: ribosomal RNA, 449 nt
Filed under: uncultured bacterium
Lineage: Bacteria
Description: partial 16S ribosomal RNA
Rfam family: Bacterial small subunit ribosomal RNA
Source: RNAcentral
AACGAACGCUGGCGGCAUGCCUAAUACAUGCAAGUCGAACGAUCUCUUCGGAGGUAGUGGCGCACGGGUGCGUAACGCGUGGGAAUCUGCCCUUGGGUUCGGAAUAACGUCGGGAAACUGACGCUAAUACCGGAUGAUGACGUAAGUCCAAAGAUUUAUCGCCCAGGGAUGAGCCCGCGUAGGAUUAGCUAGUUGGUGGGGUAAAGGCCUACCAAGGCGACGAUCCUUAGCUGGUCUGAGAGGAUGAUCAGCCACACUGGGACUGAGACACGGCCCAGACUCCUACGGGAGGCAGCAGUAGGGAAUAUUGGACAAUGGGGGCAACCCUGAUCCAGCAAUGCCGCGUGAGUGAUGAAGGCCUUAGGGUUGUAAAGCUCUUUUACCCGGGAUGAUAAUGACAGUACCGGGAGAAUAAGCCCCGGCUAACUCCGUGCCAGCCGCCGCGGUAA